AGAACGAACGCUGGCGGCAGGCUUAACACAUGCAAGUCGAACGCGUGUAGCAAUACACGAGUGGCGCACGGGUGAGUAACGCGUGGAUAUCUGCCUUUUGGUUCGGAAUAACCCCGGGAAACUGGGGCUAAAUACCGGAUGGUUCCUACGGGAUAAAGAUUUAUCGCCAAAAGAUGAGUCCGCGUCCGAUUAGCUAGUUGGUGGGGUAAUGGCCUACCAAGGCGACGAUCGGUAGCUGGUCUGAGAGGACGAUCAGCCACACUGGGACUGAGACACGGCCCAGACUCCUACGGGAGGCAGCAGUGGGGAAUAUUGGACAAUGGGGGCAACCCUGAUCCAGCCAUGCCGCGUGAGUGAUGAAGGCCUUCGGGUUGUAAAGCUCUUUUGGCGGGGACGAUGAUGACGGUACCCGCAGAAUAAGCCCGGCUAACUUCGUGCCAGCAGCCGC
This 448-nucleotide ribosomal RNA is filed under the name uncultured bacterium. Its description in RNAcentral is "SSU rRNA". It matches the Rfam family "Bacterial small subunit ribosomal RNA", at positions 26 to 518 of the family's 1533-position model. The record is from RNAcentral.